ACUCCUACGGGAGGCAGCAGUGGGGAAUAUUGCACAAUGGGCGCAAGCCUGAUGCAGCCAUGCCGCGUGUAUGAAGAAGGCCUUCGGGUUGUAAAGUACUUUCAGCAGUGAGGAAGGCGGAGUCGUUAAUAGCGGCCUCGUUUGACGUUAGCUGCAGAAGAAGCACCGGCUAACUCCCGUGCCAGCAGCCGCGGUAAUACGGAGGGUGCGAGCGUUAAUCGGAAUUACUGGGCGUAAAGCGCAUGCAGGUGGUUUGUUAAGUCAGAUGUGAAAGCCCGGGGCUCAACCUCGGAAUUGCAUUUGAAACUGGCAGACUAGAGUACUGUAGAGGGGGGUAGAAUUUCAGGUGUAGCGGUGAAAUGCGUAGAGAUCUGAAGGAAUACCGGUGGCGAAGGCGGCCCCCUGGACAGAUACUGACACUCAGAUGCGAAAGCGUGGGGAGCAAACAGGAUUAGAUACCCUGGUAGCACAGAG
Molecule: ribosomal RNA, 474 nt
Filed under: uncultured bacterium
Lineage: Bacteria
Description: bacterial SSU rRNA
Rfam family: Bacterial small subunit ribosomal RNA
Source: RNAcentral